This 440-nucleotide ribosomal RNA is filed under the name uncultured bacterium. RNAcentral's name for it is "partial 16S ribosomal RNA". It matches the Rfam family "Bacterial small subunit ribosomal RNA", at positions 338 to 795 of the family's 1533-position model. The record is from RNAcentral.
CCUACGGGAGGCAGCAGUAGGGAAUAUUGCUCAAUGGGGGAAACCCUGAAGCAGCAACGCCGCGUGGAGGAUGAAGGUUUUCGGAUUGUAAACUCCUUUUGUUAGAGAAGAUAAUGACGGUAUCUAACGAAUAAGCACCGGCUAACUCCGUGCCAGCAGCCGCGGUAAUACGGAGGGUGCAAGCGUUACUCGGAAUCACUGGGCGUAAAGAGCGCGUAGGCGGGAUAGCAAGUCAGAUGUGAAAUCCUAUGGCUUAACCAUAGAACUGCAGUUGAAACUGUUAGUCUAGAGUAUGGGAGAGGUAGGUGGAAUUCUUGGUGUAGGGGUAAAAUGCGUAGAGAUCAAGAGGAAUACUCAUUGCGAAGGCGACCUGCUAGAACAUAACUGACGCUGAUGCGCGAAAGCGUGGGGAGCAAACAGGAUUAGAUACCCUUGUAGUC